UGCCUAACACAUGCAAGUCGAACGGUAACAGUCCUUCGGGAGCUGACGAGUGGCGCACGGGUGAGUAACGCGUGGAUAUCUGCCUAUGAGUGGGGGACAACUUUCGGAAACGGAAGCUAAUACCGCAUACACUUUACGGAGUAAAGCAGGGGACCUUCGGGCCUUGUGCUCAUAGAUGAGUCCGCGUCAGAUUAGCUAGUUGGUAGGGUAAAAGCCUACCAAGGCGAUGAUCUGUAACUGGUUUGAGAGGAUGAUCAGUCACACUGGAACUGAGACACGGUCCAGACUUCUACGGAAGGCAGCAGUGGGGAAUUUUGCACAAUGGGCGCAAGCCUGAUGCAGCGAUGCCGCGUGUGGGAAGAAGGCUUUAGGGUUGUAAACCACUUUCAAUUGGGAAGAAGAGAUGAGCGUUAAUAACGCUCUGAUUUGACGGUACCUUUAGAAGAAGCACCGGCUAAUUUCGUGCCAGCAGCCGCGGUAAUACGAAAGGUGCAAGCGUUGUUCGGAUUUACUGGGCGUAAAGAGAUCGUAGGUGGUUUGUUAAGUUGGAUGUGAAAUCCCGGGGCUCAACCUCGGAACUGCAUCCAAAACUGACGGACUUGAGUUUGGGAGGGGUAAGCGGAAUUCCGUGUGUAGCAGUGAAAUGCGUAGAUAUACGGAGGAACACCUGAGGCGAAGGCGGCUUACUGGACCAAUACUGACACUGAGGAUCGAAAGCGUGGGUAGCAAACAGGAUUAGAUACCCUGGUAGUCCACGCCCUAAACGAUGUCAACUAGCCGUUGCGGGUAUCGACCCCUGCAGUGGCGCAGCUAACGCGAUAAGUUGACCGCCUGGGGAGUAC
Molecule: ribosomal RNA, 842 nt
Filed under: uncultured bacterium
Lineage: Bacteria
Description: bacterial SSU rRNA
Rfam family: Bacterial small subunit ribosomal RNA
Source: RNAcentral